RNAcentral lists this ribosomal RNA (696 nucleotides) under uncultured bacterium. RNAcentral describes it as "bacterial SSU rRNA". It matches the Rfam family "Bacterial small subunit ribosomal RNA", at positions 115 to 810 of the family's 1533-position model. The record is from RNAcentral.
GCGUAUGCAACCUACCCUAUACAGGGGGAUAGCCCGGAGAAAUCUGGAUUAAUACCCCAUGGUACUAAGAUGAGGCAUUUUGUUUUAGUUAAAGAUUUAUCGGUAUAGGAUGGGCAUGCGUCUGAUUAGCUAGUUGGCGGUGUAACGGACCACCAAGGCGACGAUCAGUAGGGGUUCUGAGAGGAAGGUCCCCCACACUGGCACUGAGAUACGGGCCAGACUCCUACGGGAGGCAGCAGUAGGGAAUAUUGGGCAAUGGACGAGAGUCUGACCCAGCCAUGCCGCGUGCAGGAAGACGGCGUUCUGCGUUGUAAACUGCUUUUAUCUGGGAAGAAAAAGUCCAUGCGUGGAAAAUUGCCGGUACCAGAUGAAUAAGCACCGGCUAACUCCGUGCCAGCAGCCGCGGUAAUACGGAGGGUGCAAGCGUUGUCCGGAUUUAUUGGGUUUAAAGGGUGCGUAGGCGGCUAAUUAAGUCAGCGGUGAAAGUUUUGGGCUUAACCCAGAAAUUGCCAUUGAUACUGGUUAGCUUGAGUAUUGGAGGGGUACAUGGAAUUGAUGGUGUAGCGGUGAAAUGCAUAGAUACCAUCAGGAACACCGAUAGCGAAGGCAUUGUACUGGCCAAUAACUGACGCUGAUGCACGAAAGCAUGGGUAGCGAACAGGAUUAGAUACCCUGGUAGUCCAUGCCGUAAACGAU